This 456-nucleotide ribosomal RNA is filed under the name uncultured bacterium. Its description in RNAcentral is "bacterial SSU rRNA". It matches the Rfam family "Bacterial small subunit ribosomal RNA", at positions 29 to 524 of the family's 1533-position model. The record is from RNAcentral.
AGUGAACGUUGGCGGCGUGGAUUAGGCAUGCAAGUCGAGCGAUCGUAGCAAUACGGGAGCGGCAAACGGGGUAGGAAUACAUCGGAACGUACCUUUUGGUUGAGAAUAGCGUUGGGAAACUGACGGUAAUACUCAAUAAAGUCGAGAGACCAAAGGUUUACUGCCGGAAGAGCGGCCGAUGCGAUAUUAGGUAGUUGGUGGGGUAAUGGCCUACCAAGCCUGAGAUGUCUAGGGGGUGUGAGAGCAUGGCCCCACCACUGGGACUGAGAUACUGCCCAGACACCUACGGGUGGCUGCAGUCGAGGAUCUUCGUCAAUGGGCGAAAGCCUGAACGAGCGACGCCGCGUGCGGGAUGAAGGCCCUUGGGUUGUAAACCGCUGUCAGGGGGAUGAACCGUAAGGUUGACAGAGCCCCAGAGGAAGCACGGGCUAAGUUCGUGCCAGCAGCCGCGGUAAU